This 73-nucleotide transfer RNA is filed under the name Diaphorina citri (Asian citrus psyllid). It matches the Rfam family "tRNA". Rfam says of the family: Transfer RNA (tRNA) molecules are approximately 80 nucleotides in length. Their secondary structure includes four short double-helical elements and three loops (D, anti-codon, and T loops). The record is from Rfam by way of RNAcentral. Lineage: Eukaryota; Metazoa; Arthropoda; Insecta; Hemiptera; Psyllidae.
GCCUGGUUAGCUUAGUUGGUAGUGCGUCUGCCUUGUAAGCGCUAGGCCGCGGGUUCGAUUCCCGCCAGGGGCG